RNAcentral lists this ribosomal RNA (428 nucleotides) under uncultured bacterium. RNAcentral's name for it is "bacterial SSU rRNA". It matches the Rfam family "Bacterial small subunit ribosomal RNA", at positions 354 to 796 of the family's 1533-position model. The record is from RNAcentral.
GUGGGGAAUAUUGGGCAAUGGGCGAAAGCCUGACCCAGCAACGCCGCGUGAAGGAAGAAGGUUUUCGGAUUGUAAACUUCUGUCCUCAGGGAAGAAGGAAGUGACGGUACCUGAGGAGGAAGCCCCGGCUAACUACGUGCCAGCAGCCGCGGUAAUACGUAGGGGGCGAGCGUUGUCCGGAAUGACUGGGCGUAAAGGGCGCGUAGACGGCUGUCUAAGUCUGGAGUGAAAGUCCUGCUUUCAAGGUGGGAAUUGCUUUGGAGACUGGAUGGCUUGAGUGCGGAAGAGGUAAGUGGAAUUCCCAGUGUAGCGGUGAAAUGCGUAGAGAUUGGGAAGAACACCAGUGGCGAAGGCGACUUACUGGGCCGUAACUGACGUUGAUGCGCGAAAGCGUGGGGAGCGAACAGGAUUAGAAACCCGGGUAGUCC